RNAcentral lists this long non-coding RNA (207 nucleotides) under Mytilus galloprovincialis (Mediterranean mussel). The record is from RNAcentral. Lineage: Eukaryota; Metazoa; Mollusca; Bivalvia; Mytilida; Mytilidae.
CUUUAUUUCUCCUAUUAGUUCAACAACAAAAAAAAAAACACUUUUACAAAGAUGUAUGCUUCUUUUGAAGGCAGAUUGUGAGCGCAAAUGAACGGUGACCCCAUUUUUUUAUUUUAUUUUUCUAUUAACUAUAAGAUAAAGUUCAUUUAUAGAAAAAUAUAGAGAAAUCCUAUAUAAAUGAUUUAGACCCGCGAACCCCCUUAAAUG